Long non-coding RNA from Photinus pyralis (common eastern firefly), 862 nucleotides. RefSeq lists it as uncharacterized. The record is from RefSeq and is a predicted model, not a curated record. NCBI's taxonomy places the organism in Eukaryota, Metazoa, Arthropoda, Insecta, Coleoptera, Lampyridae. The transcript is spliced from 3 exons.
ACGAUUUAAUGCGAUACAAAUACAUACUAUUAGGCCUUUUGCUGUUUGCACAUAACACGCGUAUCGGGUAAGACGCGUUGAGUAAACAAAUUCUUCACUCAUCAGUAUGAGGCAGUUUGCUAGUUUUUCAGGUGUCGAGCGAUGCUCGCAUAUCGGGCAAUAUCUGUUUGAUGCCAGGGGCGCUUACAACAAGACCGAGUGCCGGUCCCGGUUUAUAGGACAUCAUACCUAAUGAGAGUUCUCCCACGUGUCGGUGUCAGUCUGUUCGCCCGCUUGUUUGGAAGUUUGUAUUUAGAGGUUAUAUUUACCUUUUGUUCGUAAUAGUGACGAGAUGGUAAUAUUAAUAUUGAUACCGUUUGAUUAAUAACUUGGUGGAAGGGAAACCGGAAACCUGUUCUAUAGGAAAAAACGCUAGCAACAUAUAAAUCGGUCGGCAACCGGCAACGGAACCGGCGCCCGGCGCAUCGGUGAAAGAUUGGUACCCGAUCGCUACCCGAUACCUGUGCAAACUAACUUACUGGCUAUGGAGGGGUAUCUUAGGGAAGUACUGGUCCUUGUUGGUGGUGUUGUCAUAUAGGCGUGGAGUAUUUAGUCACUACCGACUAUCAGCGAUUUAAAUCGCCAGAAACAGAUGAAGUCAACUGCCAGGAUAUAAGGAAGCACCGAUCAACAAAAAAAAGGACUCAAUGCAUAAACUAUUUCAGAACAAUGGCAUGGUAGCGAAGAUUAUCAACAGACGCUAGUAAAAAUCUAAACCAACUUAGGACCUUCGGAUUGCAGAUAGGGAAUGCAAUACCGGGAUCGCGGGAUCCCGAAAUACCGGGAUCCCGCAGCAUUUUUGCGGGAUUAAUCCCGCACAUAA